CAAAAACAUGUCUUCGUGAAUUUCAUGUGAAGUCUAGCCUGCCCAGUGACGUCGAAGUUUAACGGCCGCGGUAGCAUGACCGUGCUAAGGUAGCAUAGUCAUUUGUCCUUUAAUUGAGGACUUGUAUGAACGGCUGAACGAGAAAUCAACUGUCUCUUUUGUAAAUUUUGAAAUUAACAUUUAAGUGAAAAGGCUUAAAUGGGAUAGGGGGACGAUAAGACCCUAUAAAUCUUGAUAAUGAGAUUAGUAACCUCAGAUAGUAGUUAUGAGUCUGAGGUUAAUAAUCUCAUUAUUUUGUUGGGGCGACAGAAGUAUAAUUUUUAGUAACUGCUUUGGCUUAAUAGUUAAUUAUUUUUAUAAUGUUUAUUGGUUAAGAUCCUUCUAUGAGGAUGCCAGAUCAAGUUACUUUAGGGAUAACAGCGUAAUCUUCUUUGAGAGUUCAUAUCGAAAGGAGGGGUUGCGACCUCGAUGUUGAAUUAAAGAACCUUUGUGGUGCAGCAGCUACUAAAGGAGGUCUGUUCGACCUUUAAAUCUUUACAUGAUCUG
This 546-nucleotide ribosomal RNA is filed under the name Panulirus penicillatus. RNAcentral describes it as "partial 16S rRNA". It matches the Rfam family "Bacterial large subunit ribosomal RNA", at positions 1808 to 2607 of the family's 2925-position model. The record is from RNAcentral. Lineage: Eukaryota; Metazoa; Arthropoda; Malacostraca; Decapoda; Palinuridae.